AAACACUGCACAAAAUAUCACCAGCCCCAAAUUGAGCCAGGAGGUGGAACUGGAGUUUAAAAACCAACCGGGCCAACUUAAAUGGGUUUUGAAGGUGAGAACUGGCAGCAAACACUGGAAACUGGAGGGUUUUAUUGAAAAGUGUAUGGAAAUUUGCAGGGCCUUAGCAAUAACAAGAAAAAGAAAUGUGUGGUGGACUCCAAAACUAAUGUGGACUUUGCUAUAAAAAAGGUGGUUUUUUUCCAGAUAAAUUGAGAAUCUACUUGACAUUUCUGCAUUAGGUCUGUGUGGCUUUAGUCUGGCUGAAGCAAAGCAAAAAUCUGUGUGUGAGAUGCAAGACAACAAACUGUGUUUGUACUGGGGGAAGAGCUGGAUCCUCCAGAGAAAACGGCAUCAGCCCUUGGAAUACAGCCACGUGGUCCUGCUGACUCCAUUCAACCAGCACAGCUGAACUG
This 455-nucleotide long non-coding RNA is filed under the name Lonchura striata (white-rumped munia). RNAcentral's name for it is "domestica (Bengalese finch) lncRNA (ENSLSDG00000005447.1)". The record is from RNAcentral. Lineage: Eukaryota; Metazoa; Chordata; Aves; Passeriformes; Estrildidae.